CGCGCGACGUGCUGCUGGUGUUCGUUCGGCUGUUCUUUCACUGCGUUUCUUCUUCUUUGUUGGAGUAAUAUCUCUUCGAUUUUGUUUUUUUUAUUUAGGUUUUCUAUGGUUCUUAUGAUCGGUCUAAUCACCAGGGAAAUAUUUCUUGAAGAUUUGCAGUAAUUAAGGUAGCGAAUUUCUUGAAGAUCGCUUGAAGAUUUGCAGUAGUUAGGUAUUUUUCUAUGACAUGGUCCUAGGGUUUACAGAAUUAGAAUCGGUUUGUCCCUCGAGACUUAGUCGAUUUGAGGAUUGAAUCCGGUUUUUCGUGAUUUAGGUUUCCUCUUUUCAAAUGGAAUUUAUGCGGUUCAGGUAUCUUAUGAAACUGGAAGUGCUUCUUCGUUAAUCUCCAGGAAUCAGCGGUGAUGUGUUUUAAUUGGAUUCGGAGUGUUGCCAAUCCGACAGUAUGAGUUCCGGAUUUCCUUGUAUUUGGUUGAAGAACCGUUGCAGGAUUAUGAGCUUUUAGUGUUUUUUUUCAAUACAUCAUGGUCUGUUUGAAAGCAUCGCGGCAGUAUUAUUUUGUAGCUAGAUGAUGGUUUCUGAUGUUUAUAAUGCCGAUAGUUCUUGAUCCCGAUUCAAUGUUACUUCAGGUUUCAUACUCGAUGUCACCAGAGAGGCAUGAUUUAGAGGCCGGAAUUCAGAUUGACUUCAGGGGGUUUCUCUAUUACAUGGAUAUGAUGAAUAUAUUAUAGUGUAGGGAACGAAGACUUCUGAUGUUUCAUGGUUCUUGAUUCUUGAUGAUUGCUUUAGGUUCCAUCAUCUCUUCAAACAAAAGAGAUGAUGUGGAGGCAGGGGUUCUGAUUGCUUCUUUUCGAGGGUGUACCUUUUCCUUUCAAGUAUUAUGGUUUGUCGUAUAUUGUGAUUUGAAUAAUUGGUUCGAUUCUGAGAAGCAAGAUGUGAUCAGAGUGAUGAUUUUUUUUAACCUCUUGUUUUUGAUGGAAUCCUUUUGUUUGGUUGCAGUUGUAUCGUUGAAGUGUCAAAUUGCACUGAUCCUUUUACCUGAUCGGAGCUAUCAUAUACUGGUUUGAUAGAAUGAUAAAUUCCAUUUCCUUUGCAUGUUGUCACUUCAUAUGUCAAGCAUUGUGGCAACAUGAUAUUUCUGCCGAGGCUUCUCAGAAUCUACCCUUCCUGCUGCUUAUUUGGUUGUUACUUAGAGAUUAUAUUGCUGACUGGUUCAGCUUGGUUUGCCAGAAUACCAAGUCAUUACUUAAUGGACACUCAGAAGCUGGAGAACAUUGGUUCUCAUAUGGGAUUUCCUCACCAAUUUAUAUUUUGAUUAUAGUGUAAUUUCAUCAUUUUGAUCAGUCAGGGUUAUGAAUAAAUAACUUAGUGCAUUUGCUUUUCAUGAUCCAGAGCAUUUAGAGUUAGAGUUGCAAUCUUAUGCUGCAAAUAGAAGCAAAAGAUGUCCUAGUCUUUUGGCUAUUUGUGUUGUUGAGUGUGGUUAUUACUGCUGUUGUUACUGUAGCAUUUGGAAGGAUGUGGUGGACAUCAUCUUUGCAGGGCUAGGUCAUCUGAUGCCUCCCUAGAUACAAGGUACUUCAGAUCUUAAUUAUUGGUUAGGAGGACUAAUUUUUUCCUUGUAUAUUGAUUUUGUAGGAUUCUCGUCCACCUUCCAAGUCCCUUCACAGUUCGUCUUCGUUCUUGGGUGCUAUUAUUGGCUCAUCUUUUUGAUUCAUUAGGUGCUUUGUGCUCUUGUGUUUCCUAUAGUCCCUCUAAACAAGUUCUGGUUUGUCGGUGAUAAAUCUGCUAUAGUGCAUCUCCUACUGUACUUUCGAUGGUGAUCCCUUUUAUAUUGAGUGCUUAUCUAGGUCUGGCAUAAUCUUGAUUUCUUGGUUAAUCUCAUGCAGUUUAUCAUUUUGUGAUUGAUGUUGGCAGUUGUUUCAUGAUUUCCUGUUGCAUUAGUAACCUGGGGAUUCUCUCAUUUGUUUGACCAGCACUGUGAGUUCUCAAUAUGCUAUGGCUGCAUUGGAGUAUAUUUGUUUUUUCAUGAGGGGUUUCCUCACUUUGAUUAUUGAAUUGAUCGUAGUAUUUUUUUUCCCCUUAUGCUUUUAGUUCAUGUCUUUCUUAGUUUGUUAUUUGUGAUGUUGCAGAAGAGCUUUUGCAACAUGGGACAAUCUUGCUGAAGGGUAUCUUGGUCUGAUAAUUGAAGAAAGUUUAGAGGAAAUGGAGUGUAAUGCUACGAUUUUUUUUUUAACGAAUAGAAUUUCUAAUCCGUGUUCGUGGAGUUCAUUAUGCUAGCUUUUUUGUGCAGUAGCUGUUCAUGUGGAACCAUGAAGGUUAAUUUAUUAUUUGUGUUAGCUUGUGCUGCAGGAUACAAUUUUUUCCCAUAUUUGCCAAUAUGGAAGGGUUCACCCUUAUUUAUAUCAUAGUUAGUAUUUGAUGCCUUUAUGUUCCUAAUUACCUUUUUUUUUAAUAGGGGUUUCUUUUGGAUUAGUAUCUUAGCAAUUUGGGUUAGUAUUUUAGAAAUCUUUUUAUUUGCUUCACCAGAACCUUGAUUUGAUCAGUGAAGGCAAUACUAGAGGAUUAGGGUUAAGAAAGGAUUUUUCAUGACGAGGUUCCUCACUUCCACUGAUAAUCUAGGGGUCACAGCAUGUGGGGCAUGACAGUGAUGAUCUCGAUAAGUGGAUCUGCUUUUUAUAUGCUGUAUCGAGUGUCAUAUCUGUGUUCCAGAAAUGUCAUUUGUGUUAUUAAUGACCUGGUGAUGUUCUCUCAUUUGUUUGACCAGAACCAUCGGCUCUCAAGAUAGCUUGGGGGAUUGGAUCAUGAUAUGCUCUUUUGAUGGAGGGUGUUCCUCAACCUUUAUGAUAGAAUUGAUAAUAUUUCUAUUUUUUUUCUCAAACUUAAAGUUCACGUCAUAGGUUUGUUAUUUCUGAUGUCGCAGAAGAGCUUGUACAACAUCAGGUGAUCUUGCUCAAGGGCAUCUUUACCUGAUAAUGGAAGACAGUUCGAAGGAAAUGGAUCAUAGUGAGAUGAUUUUUUAUUAAGGGGCUUUCUCAUCUUUGAUAGUGGAGGUAUUAUACUACUUUUUCCUAUACUAGCUGUUCAUGGGGAAUGGUGAAAGUUACUAUAUGGUUUGUGCUGUGGCGGUAACUUCUGCUGUAGGUUAUGAUUUUGCCCAUGUAGAAGGGUUUGUCCAUAUUUAUAGUUGGCCAUUUUCAAGAUUAAUUUAUAAUUUGUCAAUCUUUGUUCUAAGCAUUGAAAGUAUGAUUGACUGGGAUUAAGAAACGGUUUUCCAUGAUGGUGCUUUCUGGCUUCCACAAAUUCUUUAGGAGUCAAGCAUGUUGGAAAUAACACAUACUAUGUUGUGACCUGGUGAGCUUCUCCCAUUUGUUUGACUUCCUUGAGCGCUCAAGGCGUUUUGGGUGGAUGAGAGAAGGUAUGUUUUUUUUUUAUGUAGGGGUUCUUCAACCUCAUGAGCGUUGCAGAAGAGCUUGUGCAUUUGGGGCAUUCUUGCUCAAAGGUACUCUUGAUCUGAUAAUGGAAAGUAGUUUGGAGGAAUGCAAUGAUAAAGGGGGUUUGUCAUCUUUGAUAGUGGAGUUAAUAUUUCUAUUCUUUCCUGCACUAGCUAUUCAAACUGUGGAGGUUAAUUUAUUAUUUGUUUUGUUGCAGAGUUUGUGCUGUAAAUUACGAAUUUACCCUUCUGAAAGGGUCUGUUUCUAAUAUCAUAGUUCUUAUUUAUGUACCUUUGUGUUCCUAAUUUCCAUUUGCAAGCUUAAUUUAGAAUCUGUGAAACUUUAUUCUCAGUACCGAGGUUUUUUUUUUUGUGUUAUGAUCUUAGCAACCCUGUUAUUUGCUUUUCAGAGCACCUCAUUUUGAUCAGCGAAGACAACAUGGGGGAGUUAUUAAGAAAGAAAUUUUCUUGAUCCACUUUGAAGAGAAGGGCUUGCAUCUUUCAGUUUAUGUUGUGAGGGUUAGGUCCACAAGAUACCACAGCUUUUGGUGUUAUAUGAUUCACCUCUGAGUUAUGAGUUAGUAGUUCGAUCCUUUUUGAUUCUUAUUUUCCUAGUAAACGGGCGUCCUGGGUGAUAGGUUGUUUUACAUAUGAAUUUGAUUGUGCUAUGUUUCUCUCUCUAUCUACAGUGUUACAUUACAGAGUUGAAGAAUAAUUUAUUAGUAUUUCCAUCACAGAAUGAAUUCUGUUUUGGGUGACAUUUUGGGCUUACCACCCAUUUAGACCUGUUCGUUCAGCCGAGCAAACUAGGGAGAUGUCAAACCAAAUUCCUUGUCUGAAAUGGCGACGUUAGUGAGCUGGUUAAAAUGCAUGGAGUGAGUGUGAAAAGCUUCAUGAGGCAGAGGGAGAAUGACAUAAGUCUUUCGCUGUUGAGGUGCAGUUCUAAUGUAGUGAGGGAUUUCCAACCGGAGCUUGUAGAAAGACGGUAAGGGCUACCCAUUAGUUACGGUGUACGUAGUUGUUAAGAUGAAGCUUCAUUUGGUGUUGAUUCUAGACUCGAUUGGAAAUAACCUGAUGAAACUGACCUGCUUUCUUGAUUGCUUGUUUAUCAAGAAUGCGGCAUAAGGGAUGCACAUUAUUUUUUGAUGAGGAAGGACUCGGACUUUUUGAUCUUGUUGGUAACAGCCGCACUGAAGGGAAAACGCAAACAUGGAACAUGGGUGGGGAAACAUUGAUUGUCUGACACACCUCAUGCAUUGAGAUAUUAAGGGAGUUGGUGUUAUAUAGUAAAAUAGAUAAUGGGAUUAUUGAUGGUUUUUGUAUACUAUAGGCUAUGGAGGUAAGUAGAUUCUGGAUUUGAUUAUCUUUGAUGAUCCUUUUUUUUAUUUCAUAGGGUUGAAGCUAUCUUCUAGCUCGUAUUCAUCUUCAUGCAGUGCCAGUUCUUUAGGAGCGAAAGCAUAUGAUAUGGAGGCUAUUUUGUUAAGUGGCUUUGUCAAGGUCCGCCGUAUCGGUAUCGGUCGGCGUACCGGUGGCGGCCCGGACCGGUCCGUACCGGUGGCGUACCGGUCCGAACCGGUCCCGUACCGGUUUAGUACCGAUUCUUCAACAAUAAACUACCGGUACCGGAUUUCACGCUGAUCCGGUACCGGUCCCAGGCCGGACCGGUUCGUACCGGCCGGUACGGACCGGUACGGCAGACCAUGGGCUUUGUAGCUGAUAUCUCUUGGUUCAAGAAUAUCACUCAUUCUUAUUGAUCUAGUAACCUGGUGAUCAUCUCUCAUUUCAUUGACCCGCUUCUUGAUCGUUAUAGGAUGUACGCACAAAUUGGAGUAUGAUAUGACCUUUUUCACUGGCGUUGUCCUCAGCCUUGAUUGUAGAAUCAGUUAUAGUAUUUUUCUCUGAUACAUAAAGUUUGUGUGAUAAGAUAACUUGUUAUUUCUGUUGUUGCAGAAAAGCUUGUGCAACAGGGAAACAAUCAUUCUCAGGGUAUCUUGAUCUUGAAGACUAUAUGAAAGACUGGAGUGUAAUGUUGCGAUUUUUUAUUAAGGGGGCUCGCUUUGGGAGUUUGCGAUAUUUUUUUUCCUACACAAACUAUUCACAUGGAAGAUUGAUUUGUGCUUAUGUUGCAGCAUGCAAUUUUUCCAAGGCGAAGAGCAGAGUUUGUCCUUUAAAUCCUAGUCAUUGUUUACGUGCAUUUGUGUACCUAAUAAUCGCCUUUUUCCAUUAUUAGCUUGUGUUCUCUUAAUGUUUCUGGUCCCUUGGUAUAUUUUGGAAAAUGCUGGAUUAUGAUUUGUAAUGGGCUUCAUUUUCUUCCUGUUGCAUUUGCACUAUAUUGCUUGUCUUGAUAAUCGCGCUACUAUAUUUUGUAGGCUCUGGCGUGUCUUAGAACCGAUAUAAUAGUAGCUGCUACCUUUAAUCUGGGUUUGUUUUUUUUCAUACUUGUUCCAAUUACUUAAAUAUUUUGUUAUCUUUGGCAAUCCUGUCAUUUGCCUUACCAGAACUGUGAUUUGAUCAGUGAAGGCAGAAUGGAGCAAUCCAAGUAAAGCAGUGAUUUUUCUUGCAUUGGUGUGUAUGGGAAUUGAUAUAUAUUCUGCUACUGCUGAGUGACUUAGUAGCUGUUACAUUUUAGCUGCUAUUGCUGAGUGAGUGAGUAACUUUUGAUAUGGGUCAGUAUUUCUCUCUUUUGCUUCACCAGAAAUUUGAUUUGAUCAGUGAAGGCACCAUGGGGGAAUCCAAGCGAUGAAGCAACUGUCGAUGAUGACGGUAGUACUAUUGGUGACAUUUCAGCCGAUGAAUGGAAGGGGCUCACUGGCUUAUGCGAUUUCAUUAUAUUUUAAUUAUUUACAGACUGCUGGCUUCUUAAUUUCAUUAUCAGUAUCAAGAUUAUUGACGGUUUUACUCUAUUUUUGCUUGCAAGUGGAUGUAGAUUUCUAGAAGAUUUGCAUUUAAUAAGGUAGUGAGUUUCUUGAAGAUUUGCAGUAGUCUUUUUGACUUGGCAAUCGAAUCUGGUUUCAUGUGACUUUUUUCUUUUUGAAAAGAAUUCCAGUGGAUUGAGUUUUUUUUUUUUUUGUUGGAUCUGGGUGUGCUCUUUUGUUAAUCUACAGGUAUUUGUUGUAAUGUGUAAUAAUCAGUUUUGAAUAUUUCCAAUCCGACCGUAUGAGUUCAGACAUGCUUAUGAUUUUCCUGCUGCCUGUAUUACAGUUUUUGGUAUUCAUUUUGAUAAUUCUAUUUUCAGUUUGAAAGCAUCACACAAGCAUUAUUUUGCAGCCUGAUUAGUGGUUUCUGGAUGUCUCAAAAGAGAUGUUCCUGAUGCCAAUUCAAUGUUACUUUAAAUUCCAUCUUACGGUGAUGGACAAGAUAAGCAUGAUUCAGAGGCUGAAAUUCAAGUUGAAGAUUUGCAGUAAUUAAGGAAUUUUUUGCGACUUGGUUUUUAGGGUUCGCAGAAUUGUUAGCUGUUUGUUCUUGUUUGAGGAUUUGACGAUUGAAUCUGGUCUCUUGUGAUUUAGUUUCUUUUUUUUACUAGAAAAGAAUCCAAGUGGUUCAGGUUUCUUUCUUCUGGUAUUGGGGGUGCUCCAUCGUUAAUCUGCAGGAAUCAGCUGUGGUGUAUUCUGAUUGGAUUUUUGCGUAUUGCCAAUCUGACAGUCCGAGUUCAGAUUUACUUCAUGAUUUUCUUUUAUUCGGUUGAAGCACUGGUGCUGGGGUUACGAGUUUUCAGUAUUUGUUUUAAUAAUAUUUUCGGUGUGAAAUCAUCAAGGAAGCAGUUUCUAUGUUUCGGAGAAUGUUUCUGAUUCUAAGACGGUGUUAUUUUGGUUUCCAUAUUCUGAUGUUGGACAUAAGAGGCUUGAUUUAGAGGCCGGAAGUUCUUGUGAAGGGGGUUUCUUUAUUACUUGGUGGUUUGAUUAGUUGGUUUGAAACAUGAUGAAAAUAUUAUUGUGCAGUGUGACAGUGAUUUCUAAUUUUGAUGCUUAAUCUAAUCAUGGUUUUUGAUUCUUGAUGGUUUCUCUAGGUUCCAAUUUUUGAGAAGGCUGCCCUUGUUUUCCAAGUAAUUCAACUCAAAGAGAUGAUGUUAAAGCAGGUGUCCACAUUGGUUUUGUUUUGAAGGGGGUUUCUUUUCCUUUGAUUAUUUUCAUUUUGUUCAGAUAAUGUGAUUUGAUCAAUUGGUUUGAUUCAGAGAAGCAAUAUGUGAUCAGUGAGAUGAUUUUUUCCACUUCUUGUGUUUGUUGAAAUCCUUCUAUUUGGCUGCGGUAGGAUUUGUUGUGGCAACAAAUUGCACUACCUGAUCAGAGCUAUCGUAUACUGUUGGCAAGCACCGUGGCGGCAUAAUAGUUUCUUCUGAUCUUUACUCAUCUUCUGUGGCUGCUUAGGAUAUAUUUCCUCUGCUCUUUAUUCCGUUGUUACUUCAGGUUAUACCGCUCAAUUCACCUCGUUUUACCAGUAUCAAGCGAUUUCUUAAUGAUGGAUUCAUGAAAUAUGAUGCAGAGGCUGGAAUUCAAGGUUGGGUUUCUCUAGUACUCUAAUCAUGUGAUCAUUUAGGAUCAACUGACGAAUUGAUUGUGUUCGCUUUUCAUGAUUCAGAGCAUUUAGAGGAGCAAUUAUGAAGCUGUAAAUGUCUUAUUCAUUUGUUCGUUUGUGUUAUUGAGUGUUUGGUGCUUUUGCUGUAGUAUUUGUAAGGAUAUAAUGAACAUCAUGUUCGAUGGGUUGGAGUUGUUGGAUGGCUCCAGAGAUGCAAGGUAUUUCAGGUUCUGAUUAUCUAUUAUAUGGGACUCAUCCACCAUCUCUUUCACCAUUCUUGUUGCUACUCAGUCUACCGGUCGAGUGCUUAGAGCAAAAAGCAGAGAUGAUUUGCUGACAGAGCGACUACUUUGGUACUUGAAAUUAUUCAUAUUCCGUGGGUUAGAUGUGUAUUAUUGUUGUGUUUUUUUUGUCGUAUUUGCAAGAGCUUGAGCUUGGCAAUUGCUGAGGGCCAGAAAAUCAGGGUUAUUUCUUCCUUUAGAUAUCAUUUGCUUCCUCCUUUAUCCUAAUUGUUUGCUGUUAUUCAAUGAUUAGGGUCCUGUGACUCCUGUCUGAGAUAACCUGCUCUUGGCUUUUUGGUUGGUUCUCCGAAAGUCUUGGUUGUGUACUUGUCCCUAUACUUGCUCGUGUGGUAAAUAGAAAGUUUGCGAAUUUUUAUUUCUUUUUUUUUAACUGCAAAUUCGUUUCAUCUAGUCAUGACCAUGUUCAUAACGAGCUAAUGGUAGUGGUUUGCAGGUUGAUCUUAUAGUCUGUUGACCUUGCUUCUUCCAGUUGAUAGCUUUGGGAGUAGUAAGAUCUCAAUUUUUGGUUGUAGUUCACCUGUUACACAACAUUUCAUCAAUUUUGUCCACCAUAAGGCCCAUCACAUCUGUUGUUUUUGCUAUCAGAUUUCCUCUUGUGGAGAUGCCAUACUUGGUAUAUGUUUAAUAGCAUCAUCAACUGCCAAUCUUAAUCUAUGGUAACUCCUUCAAGGUUCUUUAUAAUCACUUUUCUUGUAGUACAUAUAUGUCUUGUUUUCACUGUUAUCUAGUAUUUGAGGGAUGUUUGUAUUUCAGUUGUUUUGUGGAAUUAUUCCUCCAUCUAGUCAUGCCCUCAUUUUAACAGCUUAUGCGAUUACCCGAACUUUCAGUUGUAGCUGUUUGGCAAAUUUUAAUUCUUUGACGUGUGCGAGGAGUAAUGUGAAACAUUAAUUUAUUAUCUCUGUUGAAGGGCUUGUAGUGUUUGAAAUAGUCUUGCUUAAGGGAUCUAGGGACCCACUAAGUUAAGCCAUUCUUUAUAUUUGUGGCUAUUGUUUAUGAAACAUUGUCUUCCUUAUUGCCUUUUGUUGAAUCUGCUUUAUAAUUAGUUAGUUCAUGUUUUGGAUUCGGUCAAAUCCGGAGAAUUCUGAUUUGGUUUGUUUUUAAGGAGCUUUAUUAUCUUCUAAUACGCUAUCUCUGGUCAUCUUUUCAUAUCUGACAGAUUGUAGGAUUCAGUACAUCCUGGGAGCGUUUUGAAUGACACUGUCUAUUAGUGAUUUUGUAGCUUUUACAUGUAAUUGAGGUAUCUGUGGGUUAAAUUUGUUUUAAGGUGGCAAUAAUUCCUUUUGGUUAGUGGUUUAAUUGUUUUCUCCAGUUCGUUUCACCAGUACCCUGAUUCGGUCAUUUGAGAUAUGGGGAAUUGGACUGCUGUUGAUGUGAUAAGGUUAAGCUGUUAUAUUUGUUGCUUUUGCUGAUCUUAUGUUAUGGUAAGCAAUUUGCAUGACUGUUUAUAUUGUGGCUAUUGUUUGUUGACUUCUGUCUUCUUAAUUGACUUUUUAUCAAUGCUGGUUCAGCAUGAAAUAAGAGAAUAUGUUCCUUAUUGAUCAAGGCAAAUUCUGUAAAAAUUAUCUUGCAACCAGUUUCAUUUUCAUGUAGGUCCUAAUGUUUGACUCCUUGUAGUGCUGGUGCGUCUUGGAAACAAAAUGAAUCGAGCAGGACUUAAUUCUCGAUGCACAUUUGUUCAAAUUCUGUAAAAUUCUGGGUUCAGUUACUUGUAAACAGUCUCAUUUUCAUUGUUUAGGUCCUAGUCUCCGGCUCCAUGGGAGUCCUACUUGGUGCAUGUUGGAAACAAAAUGACUCCAACAGUGGAUAAAUGAGUUAAUAUUUGAUGCACAUUAUUCUAAUUUCAUCUUCGUUCCAUACUGUUAAUCAUAUGUGUUGGGUUAUUAGCUUAUUGAUUCUUACAUUUGUUUCACUAGAACCAGUGAAGGCAAUUUGUAGGGUUUCCUCACUAUUUGGUUUUAUUAAUUUUUCUCUAACCAUGUUGUUUAUAAGGUUAAUUAUUUCUGUUAUUGCAGAAGAGCUUGUGCUGUAAGAGAACAUCUAGGUUGAUGGACAAGGUUGCUAAUGAAAAUACUUGCAGCUGAUUUGCUGUAUCAAGUUUCUUAGUUUCAUCUGUGUUCCAAAAUCUCAUUCAUUCCUAUUGCAUUGAUGUUUUCCUCUCAUUUGUUUGACCAGUAACUUGAAUGCUUAAUGUAGUCUGGGUGAAUUGGAGUAUGAUAUGCUUUUUCAUUCAUGGAGUUCCUCAACCUAGACUUAGAAUUUGGUUUAAUUAAUUUUUUUCCUUACACCUGGAGUUCAUGUGGUAGGUCAGUUUGUACUUCAGCUGUUGCAGAAGAUCUUGGGCAUCAUGGGAUAAUCUUGCUUAUGGGUAUCUUGAUAUGAAAAGUUUGUUGUACUAGCUUUUCCCUACAGUAGAUGUUCGUGUGGAAUCAUGAAAGUAAAUUUACUAUUUGUUCUGUUGCAGAUGAGCCUGUGCUGUAAGACAGAGUUUUGCCCAUAUGGAAGAGUUUGUCCUUGUUUAUGUUGUACUUAUUGUUUGAUACCUUUAUGUUCCUGAUUACCCCUUUUAUUUCACUAGUUGGUUUUAUUCCUUUGGGUUGACAUCUUAAUAAUUCUUUCUAUUUGCUUCACCAGAAUAUUGUUUUGAUCAGGGAGGCAAUAUGGAGACUCACUUCUGCUGGGAACAAGAUGGAUUCUAUGUUGAUAAGUUGUUUUGCAGCUGAUAUGCUGCACUAAGUUUCAUAUCUAUGUUCCAAAGUCUUGUUAAAUCUCAUUCAUUCCUGUUGUUCCAGUAACCUUGUGACUUCCUCUCAUUUGUUUGACCAGUACCAAGGUUUUAAAUACCGGUGGGAUAGUGGGGACCUGAGUGCUCAAGACAGUCUGGGUGGAUUGGAGCAUGAUAUGUAUUUUUCAUGGAGGGUUUCCUGAACCUUGAUUGUAGAACUUGUUCUACUACAUUUUUUUUACUCUUAUGCUUUGAUACUUGUUUAGUAUGUUAUUUCGGAUGUUGCAGAAGAGCUUGUGCGACAUUUGACAAUCUCGCUCAAAGGCAUCUUGAUCUGAUGAUGGAAGACAGUUUGGAGGACUUGGAAUAUAAUGAUAUGAUUUUUAUGAAGGGGGUUUCUCAUCUGUGAUACUGGAGUUAUACAUUUUCUCUUAUAAUAGCUGUUCGAGGGAAAGUGUGUAUUUUUAAUUUAUUCUUUGUGCUGUUCAGCUGUAGGUCACGAAUUUGCCUUAAGGGUUUGUUCUCACAGAACCUACCUUUCCUUCACAAUUUUUGAAGAAUAGAGAGGAGAAUGGUAUCUCAUGGCCUUUCCUCUCUUUUUUGGUCACAUGUUCUCUGAACCGAGCAAAACCUAAUGGUUCCGCUUGGUUUAGUUCGAGCCGGUUCACAGUGGUUUCCCAAUCAAGAGGCCAAAUUGACUUGGUUUCUCACCAGUUCGAGAUGCCCCGAAGUGGGAAGUUCGGGUCAGUUUGGCAUAAUCUUGAUUUCUUGGUUAAUCUCAUGCAGUUUAUCAUUUUGUGAUUGAUGUUGGCAGUUGUUUCAUGAUUUCCUGUUGCAUUAGUAACCUGGGGAUUCUCUCAUUUGUUUGACCAGCACUGUGAGUUCUCAAUAUGCUAUGGCUGCAUUGGAGUAUAUUUGUUUUUUCAUGAGGGGUUUUCUCCCUUUGAUUAUUGAAUUGAUCGUAGUAUUUUUUUCCCCUUAUGCUUUUAGUUCAUGUCUUUCUUAGUUUGUUAUUUGUGAUGUUGCAGAAGAGCUUUUGCAACAUGGGACAAUCUUGCUGAAGGGUAUCUUGGUCUGAUAAUUGAAGAAAGUUUAGAGGAAAUGGAGUGUAAUGCUGUGAUUUUUUUUUAAUGAAUAGAAUUUCUAAUCCAUGUUCGGGGAGCUCAUUAUGCUAGCUUUUUUGUGCAGUAGCUGUUCAUGUGGAACCAUGAAGGUUAAUUUAUUAUUUGUGCUGUUGCAGAUUAGCUUGUGCUGCAGGAUACAAUUUUUCCCCAUAUUUGCCAAUAUGGAAGGGUUCACCCUUAUUUAUAUCAUAGUUAGUAUUUGAUGCCUUUAUGUUCCUAAUUACCUUUUUUUUAAUAGGUGUUUCUUUUGAUUAGUAUCUUAGCAAUUUGGGUUAGUAUUUUAGAAAUCUUUUUAUUUGCUUCACCAGAACCUUGAUUUGAUCAGUGAAGGCAAUACUAGAGGAUUAGGGUUAAGAAAGGAUUUUUCAUGACGAGGUUCCUCACUUCCACUGAUAAUCUAGGGGUCACAGCAUGUGGGGCCUGACAGUAAUGAUCUCGAUAAGUGGAUCUGCUUUUUAUAUGCUGUAUCGAGUUUCAUAUCUGUGUUCCAGAAAUGUCCUUUGUGUUAUUAAUGACCUGGUGAUGUUCUCUCAUUUGUUUGGCCAGAACCAUCGGCUCUCAAGAUAGCUUGGGGGAUUGGAUCAUGAUAUGCUCUUUUGAUGGAGGGUGUUCCUCAACCUUUAUGAUAGAAUUGAUAAUAUUUCUAUUUUUUUCUCAAACUUAAAGUUCACGUCAUAGGUUUGUUAUUUCUGAUGUCGCAGAAGAGCUUGUACAACAUCAGGUGAUCUUGCUCAAGGGCAUCUUUACCUGAUAAUGGAAGACAGUUCGAAGGAAAUGGAUCAUAGUGAUAUAAUUUUUUAUUAAGGGGGUUUCUCAUCUUUGAUAGUGGAGGUAUUAUACUACUUUUUCCUAUACUAGCUGUUCAUGGGGAAUGGUGAAAGUUACUAUAUGGUUUGUGCUGUGGCGGUAACUUCUGCUGCAGGUUAUGAUUUUGCCCAUGUAGAAGGGUUUGUCCAUAUUUAUAGUUGGCCAUUUUCAAGAUUAAUUUAUAAUUUGUCAAUCUUUGUUCUAAGCACUGAAAGUAUGAUUAACUGGGAUUAAGAAAGGGUUUUCCAUGAUGUUGCUUUCUUGCUUCCACAAAUUCUUUAGGAGUCAAGCAUGUUGGAAAUAACACAUACUAUGUUGGUAAGUGGUUUUGCAGCUGAUAUGCUGUAUCAAGUUUCUUAGUUUCAUCUAUUUUUCACGAUCUCAUUCAUCCCUGUUGCAUUAGUGACCUGGUGAGCUUCUCCCUUUUGUUUGCCUUCCUUGAGCGCUCGAGACAUUUUGGGUGGAUGAGAGAAGGUAUGUUUUUUUUUUUAUGUAGGGGGUUCUUCAACCUCAUGAGCGUUGCAGAAGAGCUUGUGCAUUUGGGGCAUUCUUGCUCAAAGGUACUCUUGAUCUGAUAAUGGAAAAUAGUUUGGAGGAAUGAAAUGAUAAAGGGGGUGUGUCAUGUUUGAUAGUGGAGUUAAUAUUUCUAUUCUUUCUUGCACUAGCUGUUCAAAGUGUGGAGGUUAAUUUAUUAUUUGUUCUGUUGCAGAGUUUGUGCUGUAAAUUACAAAUUUACCCUUCUGGAAUAGUCUGUUUCUAAUAUCAUAGUUCUUAUUUAUAUACCUUUGUGUUCCUAAUUUCCAUUUGCAAUCUUAAUUUAGAAUCUGUGAAACUUUAUUCUCAGUAUCGAGGUUUUUGUUUUGUGUUAUUAUCUUAGCAACCCUGUUAUUUGCUUUUCAGAGCACCUCAUUUUGAUCAGCGAAGGCAACAUGGGGGAGUUAUUAAGAAAGAAAUUUUCUUGAUCCACUUUGGAGAGAAGGGUAUGCAUCUUUCAGUUUAUGUUGUGAGGGUUAGGUCCACAAGAUACCACAGCUUUUGAUGUUAUAUGAUUCACCUCUGAGUAAUGAGUUAGUAGUUCAAUCCUUUUUGAUUCUUAUCUUCCUAGUAAACGGGUGUCCUGGGCGAUAGGUUGUUUUACAUAUGAAUUUGAUUGUGCUAUGUUUCUCUCUCUAUCUACAGUGUUACAUUACAGAGUUGAAGAAUAAUUUAUUAUUAUUUCCAUCACAGAAUGGAUUCUAUUUUGGGUGACAUUUCGGGCUUACCACCCAUUUAGACCUGUUCGUUCAGCCGAGUAAACUAGGAAGAUGUCAAACCAAAUUCCUUGUCUGAAGUGGCGACGUUAGUGAGCUGGUUAAAAUGCAUGGAGUGAGUGUGAAAAGCUUCAUGAGGCAGAGGGAGAAUGACAUAAGUCUUUCGCUGUUGAGGUGCGGUUCUAAUGUAUUGAGGGAUUUCCAACCGGAGAUUGUAGAAAGACGGUAAGGGCUCUCCAUUAGUUAUGGUGUACGUAGUUGUUAAGAUUAAGCUUCGUUUGGUGUUGAUUCUAGAUUAGACUGGAAAUAACCUGAUGAAACUGACCUGCUUUCUUGAUUGCUUGUUUAUCAAGAAUGAGGCAUAUGGGAUGCACAUUAUUUUUUGAUGAGGAAGGACUCGGACUUUUUGAUCUUGUUGGUAACAGCCGCACUGAAGGGAAAACGCAAACAUGGAACAUGGGUGGGGAAAUAUUAAUGGUCUGACACACCUCAUGCAUUGAGAUAUUUAGGGAGUUGGUGUUAUAUAGUAAAAUAGAUAAUGGGAUUAUUGAUGGUUUUUGUAUACUAUAGGCUAUGGAGGUAAGUAGAUUCUGGAUUUGGUUAUCUUUGAUGAUCCUUUUUUUUAUUUCAUAGGGUUGAAGCUAUUUUCUAGCUCGUGUUCAUCUUCAUGCAGUGCCAGUUCUUUAGGUGCGAAAGCAUAUGAUAUGGAGGCUAUUUUGUUAAGUGGCUUUGUAGCUGAUAUCUCUUGGUUCAAGAAUAUCACUCAUUCUUAUUGAUCUAGUAACCUGGUGAUCAUCUCUCAUUUCAUUGACCCGCUUCUUGAUCGUUAUAGGAUGUACGCACAAAUUGGAGUAUGAUAUGACCUUUUUCACUGGUGUUGUCCUCAGCCUUGAUUGUAGAAUCAGUUAUAGUCAUUUUCCCUGAUAGAGUUUGUGUGAUAAGAUAACUUGUUAUUUCUGUUGUUGCAGAAAAGCUUGUGCAACAGGGAAACAAUCAUUCUCAGGGUAUCUUGAUCUUGAAGACUAUAUGAAAGACUGGAGUGUAAUGUUGCUAUUUUAUAUUAAGGGGGUUCGUUUUGGGAGUUUGCGAUAUUUUUUUUCCUACACAAACUAUUCACAUGGAAGAUUGAUUUGUGCUUAUGUUGCAGCAUGCAAUUUUUCCAAGGCGAAGAGCAGAGUUUGUCCUUUAAAUCCUAGUCAUUGUUUAUGUGCAUUUGUGUACCUAAUAAUCGCCUUUUUUCCAUUAUUAGCUUGUGUUCUCUUAAUGUAUCUGGUCCUUUGGUAUAUUUUGGAAAAUGCUGGAUUAAGAUUUGUAAUGGGCUUCAUUUUCUUCCUGUUGGAUUUGCACUAUAUUGCUUGUCUUGAUAAUCAUGAUACUAUAUUUUGUAGGCUAUGGUGUGUCUUAGAACCGAUAUAAUAGUAGCUGCUACCCUUAAUCUGGGCCUGUUUUUUUCAUACUUGUUCCAAUUACUUAAAUAUUUUGUUAUCUUUGGCAAUCCUGCCAUUUGCCUUACCAGAACUGUGACUUGAUCAGUGAAGGCAGAAUGGAGCAAUCCAAGUAAAGCAGUGAUUUUUCAUGCAUUGGUGUGUAUGGGAAUUGAUAUAUAUUCUGCUACUGCUGAGUGACUUAGUAGCUUUUACAUUUUAGCUGCUAUUGCUGAGUGAGUGAGUUACUUUUGAUAUGGGUCAGUAUUUCUCUCUUUUGCUUCACCAGAAAUUUGAUUUGAUCAGUGAAGGCACCAUGGGGGAAUCCAAGGGAUGAAGCAACUGUGGAUGAUGGCGGUAGUACUAUAGGUGACAUUUCAGCCGAUGAAUGGAAGGUGCUCACUGGCUUAUGCGAUUUCAUUAUAUUUUAAUUAUUUACAGUCUGUUGGCUUCUUAAUUUCAUUAUCAGUAUCAAGAUUAUUGAUGGUUUUACUCUAUUGUUGCUUGCAAGUGGAUGUAGAUUUCUAGAAGAUUUGCAUUUAAUAAGGUAGUGAGUUUCUUGAAGAUUUGCAGUAGUCUUUUUGACUUGGCAAUUGAAUCUGGUUUCAUGUGACUUUUUUCUUUUUGAAAAGAAUUCCAGUGAAUUGAGUUUUUUUUUUUUGGUUGGAUCUGGGAGUGCUCUUUUGUUAAUCUACCGGUAUGAUUUUCCUGCAAAUCUUAAUCGCUUUUGAAUAUUUCCAAUCCGACAGUAUGAGUUCAGACUUGCUUAUGAUUUUCCUGCUGCCAGUAUUACAGUUUUUGGUAUUCAUUUUAAUAAUUCUAUUUUCAGUUUGAAAGCAUCACACAAGCAUUAUUUUGCAGCCUGAUUAGUGGUUUCUGGAUGUCUCGAAAGAGAUGUUCCUGAUGGCAAUUCAAUGUUACUUUAGAUUCCAUCUUACGGUGUUGGACAAGAUAGGCAUGAUUCAGAGGCUGAAUUUAAGUUAAAGAUUUGCAGUAAUUAAGGAAUUUUUUGCGACUUGGUUUUUAGGGUUCGCAGAAUUUUGAGCUGUUUGUUCUUGUUUGAGGAUUUGACGAUUGAAUCUGGUCUCUUGUGAUUUAGUUUCCUUUUUUUCCUAAAAAAGAAUCCAAGUGGUUCAGGUUUCUUUCUUCUGGUAUUGGGGGUGCUCCAUCGUUAAUCUGCCGGAAUCAGCUGUGGUGUAUUCUGAUUGGAUUUUUGAGUAUCGCCAAUCUGACAGUCCGAGUUCAGAUUUACUUCAUGAUUUUCUUGCAUUCGGUUGAAGCACUGGUGCUGGGGUUACGAGUUUUCAGUAUUUGUUUUAAUAAUAUUUUCAGUGUGAAAUCAUCAUGGAAGCAGUUUCUAUGUUUCGGAGAAUGUUCCUGAUUCUAAGUCGGUGUUAUUUUGGUUUCCAUAUUCUGAUGUUGGACAUAAGAGGCAUGAUUUAGAGGCCGGAAGUUCUUGUGAAGGGGGUUUCUUUAUUACAUGGUGGUUUGAUUAGUUGGUUUGAAACAUGAUGACAAUUUUAUUGUGCAGUGUGACAGUGAUUUCUAAUUUUGAUGCUUAAUCUAAUCAUGGUUUUUGAUUCUUGAUGGUUUCUCUAGGUUCCAAUUUUUGAGAAGGCUGCCCUUGUUUUCCAUGUAAUUCAACUCAAAGAGAUGAUGUUAAAGCAGGUGUCCACAUUGGUUUUGUUUUGAAGGGGGUUUCUUUUCCUUUGAUUAUUUUCAUUUUGUUCAGAUAAUGAGAUUUGAUCAAUUGGUUUGAUUCAGAGAAGCAAUAUGUGAUCAGUGAGAUGAUUUUUUCCACUUCUUGUGUUUGUUGAAAUCCUUCUAUUUGGUUGCGGUAGGAUUUGUUGUGGCAACAAAUUGCACUACCUGAUCAGAGCUAUCAUAUACUGUUGGCAAGCACUGUGGGGACAUAAUAGUUUCUUCUGAUCUUUAGUCAUCUUCUGUGGCUUCUUAGGAUAUAUUUCCUCUGCUCAUUAUUCCGUUGUUACUUCAGGUUAUACUGCUCAAUUUACCUCGUUUUGCCAGUAUCAAGGGAUUACUUAAUGAUGGAUUCAUGAAAUAUGAUGCAGAGGUUGGAAUUCAAUAUUGGGUUUCUCAAGUACUCUAAUCAUCAUGUUCAAUAUUGGUUUGCUGUAGUAUUUGUAAGGAUAUAAUGAACAUCAUGUUCAACGGGUUGGAGUUGUUGGAUGGCUCCAGAGAUGCAAGUCUACCGGUCGACUGCUUAGAGCAAAAAGCAGAGAUGAUUUGCUGACAGAGCGACUACUUUGGUACUUGAAAUUAUUCAUAUUCCAUGGGCUAGAUGUGAAUUAUUAUUGUGUUUUUUUUGUCGUAUUUGCAAGAGCUUGAGCUUUUCAAUUGCUGAGGGCCAGAAAAUCAGGGUUAUUUCUUCCUUUAGAUAUCAUUUCCUUCCUCCUUUAUCCUAAUUGUUAGCUGUUAUUCAAUGAUUAGGGUUCUGUCUGAGAUAACCAGCUCUUGGCUUUUUGGUUGGUUCUCCGAAAGUCUUGGUUGUAUACUUGUCCCUAUAUUUGCUUGUGUGGUAAAUAGAAAGUUUGCGAAUUUUUAUUUCUUUUUUUUAAUUGCAAAUUCGUUGCAUCUAGUCAUGACCAUGUUCAUAACGAGCUAAUGGUAGUGGUUUGCAGGUUGAUCUUAUAGUCUGUUGACCUUGCUUCUUCCAGUUGAUAGCUUUGGGAGUAGUAAGAUCUCAAUUUUUGGUUGUAGUUCACCUGUUACUCAACAUUUCAUCAAUUUUGUCCACCAUAAGGCCCAUCACAUCUGUUGUUUUUGCUAUCAGAUUUCCUCUUGUGGAGAUGCCAUACUUGGUAUAUGUUUAAUAGCAUCAUCAACUGCCAAUCUUAAUCUAUGGUAACUCCUUCAAGGUUCUUUAUAAUCACUUUUCUUAUAGCACAUAUACGUCUUGUUUUCACUGUUAUCUAGUAUUUGAGGGAUGUUUGUAUUUCAGUUGGUUUGUGGAAUUAUUCCUCCAUCUAAUCAUGCCCUCAUUUUAACAGCUUAUGCGAUUACCCGAACUUUCUGUUGUAGCUGUUUGGCAAAUUUUAAUUCUUUGACGUGUGCGAGGAGUAAUGUGAAACAUUAAUUUAUUAUCUCUGUUGAAGGGCUUGUAGUGUUUGAAAUAGUCUUGCUUAAGGGAUCUAGGGAUCCACUAAGUUAAACCAUUCUUUAUAUUUGUGGCUAUUGUUUAUGAAACAUUGUCUUCCUUAUUGCCUUUUGUUGAAUCUGCUUUAUAAUUAGUUAGUUCAUGUUUUGGAUUCGGUCAAAACCGGAGAAUUCUGAUUUGGUUUGUUUUUAAGGAGCUUUAUUAUCUUCUAAUACGCUAUCUCUGGUCAUCUUUUCGUCUCUGACAGAUUGUAGGUUACAGUACAUCCUGGGUGCGUUUUGAAUGACACUGUCAAUUAGUGAUUUUGUAGCUUUUACAUGUAAUUGAGGUAUCUGUGGGUUAAAUUUGUUUUAAGGUGCCAAUAAUUCCUUUUGGUUAGUGGUUUAAUUGUUUUCUCCAGUUCGUUUCACCAGUACCCUGAUUCGGUCAUUUGAGAUAUGGGGAAUUGGGCUGUUGUUGAUGUGAUAAGGUUAAGCUGUUAUAUUUGUUGCUUUUGCAGAUCUUAUGUUAUGGGAAGCAAUUUGCAUUACUAUUUAUAUUGUGACUAUUGUUUGUUGACUUCUGUCUUCUUAAUUGACUGUUUAUCAAUGCUGGUUCAACACGAAAUAAGAGAAUAUGUUCCUUAGGUAUCAAGGCAAAUUCUGUAAAAUUUUCCUGUAACCAGUUUCAUUUUCAUGUAGGCCCUAAUGUUUGUCUCCUUGUAGUGCUGGUGCGUCUUGGAAACAAAAUGAAUCCAGCAGGAGUCCUGCUGCAGGACUUAAUUCUCGAUGCACAUUUGUUCAAAUUCUGUAAAAUUCUGGACUCAGUUACUUGUAAACAGUCUCAUUUUCAUGGUUUAGGCCCUAGUCUCAUGGGAGUCCUACAUGGUGCAUGUUGGAAACAAAAUGAAUCCAAGAGUGGAUAAAGGAGUUAAUAUUUGGUGCACAUUAUUCUAAUUUCAUUUUUGUUCCAUACUGUUAAUCAUAUGUAUUGGGUUAUUAGCUUAUUGAUUCUUACAUUUGUUUCACUAGAACCAGUGAAGGCAAUCUAUAGGGUUUCCUCACUAUUUGGUUUUAUUAAUUUUUCUCUAACCAUGUUGUUUAUAUGGUUAAUUAUUUCUGUUAUUGCAGAAGAGCUUGUGCUGUAAGAGAACAUCUAGGUUGAUGGACAAGGUUGCUAAUUAAAAUACUUGCAGCUGAUUUGCUGUAUCAAGUUUCUUAGUUUCAUCUGUGUUCCAAAAUCUCAUUCAUUCCUAUUGCAUUGAUGUUUUCCUCUCAUUUGUUUGACCAGUAAUGCUUAAUGUAGUCUGGGUGAAUUGGAGUAUGAUAUGCUUUUUCAUUCAUGGAGUUCCUCAACCUAGACUUAGAAUUGGUUUUAUUAAUUUUUCUCCUUACACCUAGAGUUCAUGUGAUAGGUCAGUUUGUACUUCUGCUGUUGCGGAAGAUCUUGGGCAUCAUGGGAUAAUCUUGCUUAUGGGUAUCUUGAUAUGAAAAGUUUGUUGUACUAGCUUUUCCCUACAGUAGCUGUUCAUGUGGAAUCAUGAAAGUAAAUUUAUUAUUUGUUCUGUUGCAGAUGAGUUUGUGCUGUGAGACAGAGUUUUGCCCAUAUGGAAGGUUUUGUCCUUGUUUAUGUUGUACUUAUUGUUUGAUACCUUUAUGUUCCUGAUUACCCUUUUUUUUUCACUAGUUGGUUUUAUUCCUUUGGGUUGAUAUUUUAAUAUUUCUUUCUAUUUGCUUCACCAGAAUAUUGUUUUGAUCAGGAAGGCAAUAUGGAGACUCACUUCUGUUGGGAACAAGAUGGAUGCUAUGUUGAUAAGUUGUUUUGCAGCUGAUAUGCUGUACUAAGUUUCAUAUCUAUGUUCCAAAGUCUUAUUAAACCUCUCAUUCAUUCCUGUGGUUUGUGGUUCCAGUAACCUUGUGACUUCCUCUGAUUUGUUUGACCAGUACCAAGGUUUUAAAUACCGGUGGGACAGUGGGGACCUUGAGUGCUCAAGAAAGUCUGGGUGGAUUUGAGCCUGAUAUGUAUUUUUCAUGGAGGGGGCUCCUCAACCUUGAUUGUAGAACUUGUUCUACUACGUUUUUUUUAUUAGAGUACUUGUUUAGUAUGUUAUUUCCGAUGUUGCAGAAGAGCUUGUGCGGCAUUUGACAAUCUUGCUCAAGGGCAUCUUGAUCUGAUGAUGGAAGACAAUUUGGAGGAAUUGGAAUAUAAUGAUAUGAUUUUUAUGAAGGGGGUUUCUCAUCUUUGAUACUGGAGUUAUGCAAUUUCUCUUGUACUAGCUGUUCAAGGGAAAGUGUGUAUUUUAAUUUAUUCUUUGUGCUGUUCAGCUGUAGGUCACGAAUUUGCCCUAAGGGUUUGUUCUCACAGAACCAACCUUUCCUUCACAAUUUUUGAAGAAUAGAGAGGAGAAUGGUAUCUCAUGGCCUUUCCUCUCUUUUUUGGUCGCAUGUUGCCUCAAAUGGACUUAAACCACUCCGAAUCGAGCAAAACCAAACGGUUCUGUUUGGUUUUGUUCGUGCCGGUUCACAGUGGUUUGCCAAUCAAGAGGCCAAAUUGACUUGGUUUCUCACCAGUUCGAGAUGCCCCAAUUCGAGAUGAUUGCUUAUUUAUAGUUGAAUUAUUGUACUAACUGUAUGCUCUCCAGUAUAGUGGGUUAUAUGAAAGGGUUAAAGAAUAAUAAUCUGCUAUACGUGCUGUCACGGUUUUACAUGUCAUUUUGGAUGAAGGGAAGGGGGUCCGCUAGGUACACCAUUCAUUUACUGUAGUUGUCAUUUUAUGGACUGUUAACUUUUUUAAUUGUUUUAUUAUCAAUAUUGAGAAUGUUCAUGGUUUUGCUAUACUGUAGGCUGUGGAUAUGCUUAGAUUACGGAUUUGAUUAUCUUUGGUCUGCGUCAUUUUUAUGUCCCAUAGGGCAGGCAAUCUUUUGGCUUUGUCUUCUAUCUGCAUGCAACACCAACUAUAGGAGUCAAAAACAUAUUGGGGAACAUAUGGCUGCUAUGUUGAUAAGUGGAUUUUUGGAUGAUAUAUUGUUGUUUCUUAGUUUCAUCCUUGUUCCAAAAUCUUAUAUAUUCUUGGUGGGUCUUAUUUGUCUGACCAGUAUCUUGAUUGCUUUGGAUGGAGCAUGACAUCAUUUUCUUGUGUAGGGGAGUUCCUAUUGGUUAUUCUAAUUCUUUUCAUUAUUAAAGUCCGUGUGAUAGUUUACUUUGUCAUUUUUAUUGUUUUUCAGAAUAGUUGGUGCUACAAGGGACAAUAUUGCUCCGUGUAUCUUUAUCUAGUAAUUGAAGACAGAAGGGAAAAAUGCAAUUGAUUUUUUUUUUCAAUGAGGGAUUCCUCAUCUUUGAUGGUGUAUUUCAUUUUAUAAAUUUUUGCUGCAAUACCUGUUCAAAUGAGACUUGGAAGGUAACUUAUUACUGCUGUUGCAGAUGAGCUUGUGUUGAAAUAUACAAUUUUACGGAUGCAGAAGGGAUUUUU
This is a non-coding RNA of Phoenix dactylifera (date palm), 22133 nucleotides long. NCBI's taxonomy places the organism in Eukaryota, Viridiplantae, Streptophyta, Magnoliopsida, Arecales, Arecaceae. The record is from RefSeq and is a predicted model, not a curated record.